ACUGAUUGAUGGUGCUUGCACCUGAUUGACGAUGGAUCACCAGUGAGUGGCGGACGGGUGAGUAACACGUAGGUAACCUGCCCCGGAGCGGGGGAUAACAUUUGGAAACAGAUGCUAAUACCGCAUAACAACAAAAGCCACAUGGCUUUUGUUUGAAAGAUGGCUUUGGCUAUCACUCUGGGAUGGACCUGCGGUGCAUUAGCUAGUUGGUAAGGUAACGGCUUACCAAGGCGAUGAUGCAUAGCCGAGUUGAGAGACUGAUCGGCCACAAUGGAACUGAGACACGGUCCAUACUCCUACGGGAGGCAGCAGUAGGGAAUCUUCCACAAUGG
RNAcentral lists this ribosomal RNA (332 nucleotides) under Limosilactobacillus reuteri. Its description in RNAcentral is "bacterial SSU rRNA". It matches the Rfam family "Bacterial small subunit ribosomal RNA", at positions 47 to 374 of the family's 1533-position model. Lineage: Bacteria; Bacillati; Bacillota; Bacilli; Lactobacillales; Lactobacillaceae. The record is from RNAcentral.